RNAcentral lists this ribosomal RNA (427 nucleotides) under uncultured bacterium. RNAcentral's name for it is "bacterial SSU rRNA". It matches the Rfam family "Bacterial small subunit ribosomal RNA", at positions 356 to 773 of the family's 1533-position model. The record is from RNAcentral.
GGGGAAUUGUUCGCAAUGGGCGCAAGCCUGACGACGCAACGCCGCGUGGAGGACGAAGAUCUUCGGGUCGUAAACUCCUGUCGAGCGGGACGAACACUUACCGGGCUAACAUCCGGGUAGGCUGACGGUACCGCUACAGGAAGCCCCGGCUAACUCCGUGCCAGCAGCCGCGGUAAUACGGGGGGGGCAAGCGUUGUUCGGAAUUACUGGGCGUAAAGGGCGCGUAGGUGGCCCGGUCAGUCUUUGGUGAAAGCGCGGGGCUCAACCCUGCGUCGGCCAGGGAUACUGCCGCGGCUGGAGCACUGUAGAGGCAGGCGGAAUUCCGGGUGUAGCGGUGGAAUGCGUAGAGAUCCGGAAGAACACCGGUGGCGAAGGCGGCCUGCUGGGCAGUUGCUGACACUGAGGCGCGACAGCGUGGGGAGCAAAC